Carassius carassius (crucian carp) is the source of this 1703-nucleotide long non-coding RNA. RefSeq lists it as uncharacterized. The record is from RefSeq and is a predicted model, not a curated record. NCBI's taxonomy places the organism in Eukaryota, Metazoa, Chordata, Actinopteri, Cypriniformes, Cyprinidae. The transcript has 4 exons.
UCUCAGGUUCAAAUAUUGAGCAGCAAACAUUUGACGGUAUUAAUACACAGGCCGCGAUUGAUCCAGACAGUGCAGCCAAUGACAGUUAUCGAUCUCACGCAAGAUGCCGACGAAGAUCCCCCCGUCAACGUAACAGACAAACCUCACAUCCUACCUGAUUCCACUCCGGCCCACAUCGAGAAUCCAAUAGGAUCCUGCGACGAACCACUUCCUGGACCCGCCGACGAACCGGCAAGAAAGAAGACUAGAAAAAUGAAUCGCCCCACCUCUCCGGUCAGUCCUGGACCAUGUGACGAACCACCAAGAAAGAUUUAUCGUUUUACAGCGGUGGUCCGACCUGAACCGAACGGCGAACUACCAAGAAAGGCUUAUCGUUUUACCCCGGCGAUCAGUCCUGAGAGCUCUCCAGAGUGGAAAACUCUCUGUCUGACACCACCGAACAGCCCGGCGACCACAGACUCGAGUAGAAGCCAUAAGGAUGACGUGACUACCUGGGGCACGCCUCAAAUCGAUGCUUGGAACCAGAGUUCUUGGACGAGCGAGCGUGAUGAGGUGUCUGCCACCAACGUGGGUCAAACACCAUAUCCUUCUCCCUCACCGUCGUCGGAAAAUCAUUACAUUACGGAAUAAGUAGAAGUGGAAGAAGUACCGGCGCCUCAGCCGGUUGAUGAACCAUUCGAUGAUCUGCCUCCGUCUCAUAGCCCCAUUAAUUCGAUACAAUCAUUUGGUCAAGAGUUUCGUGACGCGCAGGUUGACAUAAACAACAAAUAUGUCGAACUGCGUGACGUACAAGAUGAUAUUAACAACAAAUUGAUUGCGUUGCGUAGUGAGUCUCGUGACAGACAAAUCGAAACCCUUAGCAGAUUAGACGCACUGAACGGGGAGCUCCGUGCGUAUCACCUCGAGACACGCAAUCGAUUCGAUGCUCAGGAUCGCUUUAUUCAUGAUUUGGCCAAUGAAAUAUUCCAUCGCGUUAAUGCUAUGAGAUCAACGAUUGAUCAACAGUUUGAUAGAAAUGAUCUUAUGGUGAGUCAAUACCAACGGGAAUUGAUGCUCAUAUUGCAUCACCUUAUUCUCACCAUCGUAGAUGAGACCACGGAGUCAAAUUGAAUAUAGAUGUAUUCCGAGUAAUUCUUAUAUUCCAUCUAUACUUUGUUUACAUAUAAUCUGAUAUUUCAAGUAAUUCUUAUAUCUCACGUCUGCUAUGAUUGUUUAAAUAUUUCAUGUAUGCUUUUUAUACUUUGUUUUACAUAUAAUCCGAUAUCUCAUUUAUACUCUGAUUUUGUAACAAGUCAUAUAUGCUUUUUAUAUUCUGAUUUUGUAAUAGUUCAUUUAUGAUUUUUUUUUUACUAUAUGAAAUGUGUAAUAGUUCAUGUAUGCUUUUUUAUACUCUAUGAAAUUUGUAAUAGUUCAUGUUUGCUUGUUUUAACUCUAUGAUUUUGUAAUAGUACGUGUUUUGGUCUGAAAUCUAAAAAAUGGACGGGUCAGACGACUUAUGUCAAUUAGACCAAUCCUCCACAAAACUGACGCCGGACGAGAUCGAAAUGCUAAGUAUACUUCCGGACUCUUUAGAACAGUAUUUGUUUAAUUUAGAAUUCCCUGCUAUUUUGGAUCUUUUUGAAUUAGCCGUAAAUCCAGAUAUGAAUUUGUUUGAUCCUCUGCUAAGCCUAGACAACGAUCCCGUUGUACAACACGGCGGUGUU